CUCGGGGAAGAGGGUCCCUCAGCCCGGAUUUCGAGAGAGCGCAGGCCAGGCUGAGGGAUCCCACUGGUGCACA
Molecule: microRNA precursor, 73 nt
Filed under: Myotis brandtii (Brandt's bat)
Lineage: Eukaryota; Metazoa; Chordata; Mammalia; Chiroptera; Vespertilionidae
Description: mir-9193 microRNA precursor family
Rfam family: mir-9193 microRNA precursor family
Source: Rfam by way of RNAcentral